Molecule: non-coding RNA, 135 nt
Organism: Amborella trichopoda
Lineage: Eukaryota; Viridiplantae; Streptophyta; Magnoliopsida; Amborellales; Amborellaceae
Source: Rfam
AAAAAUGCUGAGGUUUGUACUUAUCUCCUCUGAGCUGGCCUCUUGUAAAUUUCAAACAAAUUAUUUGCACCAUGAUUGGGUGAACCUUUGUAAACUAUACUUGUGAAUAAAGGUUCAAUAAAAUUUGCGACAUUA